This is a long non-coding RNA of Oreochromis niloticus (Nile tilapia), 606 nucleotides long. RefSeq lists it as uncharacterized. NCBI's taxonomy places the organism in Eukaryota, Metazoa, Chordata, Actinopteri, Cichliformes, Cichlidae. The transcript is spliced from 3 exons. The record is from RefSeq and is a predicted model, not a curated record.
CACUCCGAAGCACCUCUUUCACAUCCUACAGGUCACCAUCGAAAAGCCAUUGAUUUGUAGUUGAGCGUUAAAUUGUAUUGGAACUGAGCGGGUAUAAAGUAUCACAGAAAGUAGAUUGAAUGUUCUUUUGUUAUCAAAGAUUUCUGAUGUAGUUACAGUUUACCAGCUUAAAAAAAUCAUGUCGAAAUGCCAUUUAUGUAUAAUUAAAGCAGCGAUCACUUGGACUAUUCCGUAGCACCCCUCUCACAGUGGUACAUCCCUCCAGGUAACCAUUCAUAAGUCUUGUACAGUAGAGCGGGAAAUUACAUUUCAGCUCAGCGGAUUCGACCGGUGAAGGCGUAGCAUGCACCACGAUUAGUAUAAGAUCAGAUUUGUUAACUACCAUCCAUCCAUAAACAAAUAUACACUGAAAAUGGCAUCACGCUGGUCAAGGAGGCGCAAAUUAAGGUCAAUGGUUGAGGCCGCACAGUCAGAUAUACUCCGGCACUUUGAAGAGAUGGUUGGCGAACUAAAUACCCAAAGCGACAAUGCACAGGUUGAAGUUAAGCGACCGCGGGUGGCAGAAGAGUCUGGUGUGUCCCACUGUUGUCACCCAGGCAUAGACAG